Molecule: ribosomal RNA, 474 nt
Filed under: uncultured bacterium
Lineage: Bacteria
Description: partial 16S ribosomal RNA
Rfam family: Bacterial small subunit ribosomal RNA
Source: RNAcentral
GAUGAACGCUAGCGGCAGGCCUAACACAUGCAAGUCGAGGGAGGAGCUUUCGGGCUUCGACCGGCGUACGGGUGCGUAACGCGUAUACAAUCUGCCUUUCACAUAGGGAUAGCCCGAAGAAAUUUGGAUUAAUACCUAAUGGUAUAUAGGAGUGGCAUCACAUUUAUAUUAAAGCUGAGGCGGUGAAAGAUGAGUAUGCGUUCUAUUAGCUAGUUGGAGAGGUAACGGCUCCCCAAGGCGACGAUAGAUAGGGGUUCUGAGAGGGAUAUCCCCCACACUGGUACUGAGAUAGGGCCAAGACUCAAAGGGAGGGAGGCAGGGAGAAAUAUGGGAAAUGGGUGGAAAGCUUGACCCACCCUGGCCGGGGGAAGAAAGGCGGCCUUAGGGUUUUUAACCUUUUUUGGAGGGGAAAAAAAAAGAACUAGGAGUAGUUUGAUGCGGGUCCUCUGCAAAAAAGCAGGGCCAAACCCCGUC